CUACGGGUCGCACCAGUAGGGAAUCUUAGACAAUGGGGGAAACCCUGAUCUAGCCAUGCCGCGUGAGUGAUGAAGGCCUUAGGGUUGUAAAGCUCUUUCGCUGGGGAAGAUAAUGACGGUACCCAGUAAAGAAACCCCGGCUAACUCCGUGCCAGCAGCCGCGGUAAUACGGAGGGGGUUAGCGUUGUUCGGAAUUACUGGGCGUAAAGCGCGCGUAGGCGGGCUAUUAAGUCAGGGGUGAAAUCCCGGGGCUCAACCCCGGAACUGCCUUUGAUACUGGUAGUCUUGAGUUCGAGAGAGGUGAGUGGAAUUCCGAGUGUAGAGGUGAAAUUCGUAGAUAUUCGGAGGAACAUCAGUGGCGAAGGCGACUCACUGGCUCGAUACUGACGCUGAGGUGCGAAAGUGUGGGGAGCAAGCAGGAUUAGAUACCCCGGUAGUC
RNAcentral lists this ribosomal RNA (439 nucleotides) under uncultured bacterium. RNAcentral describes it as "partial 16S ribosomal RNA". It matches the Rfam family "Bacterial small subunit ribosomal RNA", at positions 339 to 795 of the family's 1533-position model. The record is from RNAcentral.